UUAAAUUGAAGAGUUUGAUCAUGGCUCAGAUUGAACGCUGGCGGCAGGCAUAACACAUGCAAGUCGAACGGUAACAGGAAGCAGCUUGCUGCUU
RNAcentral lists this ribosomal RNA (94 nucleotides) under Salmonella enterica. RNAcentral's name for it is "partial 16S ribosomal RNA". It matches the Rfam family "Bacterial small subunit ribosomal RNA", at positions 1 to 88 of the family's 1533-position model. Lineage: Bacteria; Pseudomonadati; Pseudomonadota; Gammaproteobacteria; Enterobacterales; Enterobacteriaceae. The record is from RNAcentral.